GCGACCGGAGCGGUAGGAGCAGCAAUUUAUCCGUGUGCAGCCCCAAACUGGAAAGAAGAUGCUAAUUAAAGUGAAGGAACCAAAGCGGGGAGUGUGUUCAGUCAGUACCUGCCUUUCUGAGCCUGGCAUCCUGGACCAGCCUCACUUCCUUGGCUGAGGCAGACGCUGACCGGAAAGGAGAUUGAGAUUGACAUUGAACCUACAGACAAGGUGGAGCGAAUCAAGGAGCGUGUGGAGGAGAAAGAGGGAAUCCCCCCACAACAGCAGAGGCUCAUCUACAGUGGCAAGCAGAUGAAUGAUGAGAAGACAGCAGCUGAUUACAAGAUUUUAGGUGGUUCAGUCCUUCACCUGGUGUUGGCUCUGAGAGGAGGAGGUGGUCUUAGGCAGUGAUGGACCCUCCAUUUUACCUCUUUACCCUGUCGCUCAUAAUGAGGCAUCAUAUAUCCUCUCACUCUCUGGGACACCAUAGCCACUGCCCCCUCCCCUGGAUGCCCAGUAAUGUAUGUCUACUGGUGGGAGACUGUGAGGAUCCCAGGAUUCAGUAUUCCUGGCCCAGAGGGCCCUUGCUGGCUACUGGGUGUUAGUUUGCAGUCCUGUGUGCUUCCCUCUCUUAUGACUGUGUCCCUGGUUGUCAAUAAAAUAUUUCCUGGC
Molecule: long non-coding RNA, 651 nt
Filed under: Homo sapiens (human)
Lineage: Eukaryota; Metazoa; Chordata; Mammalia; Primates; Hominidae
Description: NEDD8 ubiquitin like modifier (ENSG00000285246.2)
Source: RNAcentral